This 501-nucleotide ribosomal RNA is filed under the name uncultured bacterium. RNAcentral describes it as "bacterial SSU rRNA". It matches the Rfam family "Bacterial small subunit ribosomal RNA", at positions 62 to 559 of the family's 1533-position model. The record is from RNAcentral.
UCGUGCGAGAAAGUAUCUUCGGAUAUGAGUAGAGCGGCGGACGGGUGAGUAACGCGUAGGAAUCUACCUAGUAGAAGGGGAUAGCCCGAGGAAACUCGGAUUAAUACCGUAUACCUCCUUAGGGAGAAAGAGGGCCUCUCUUGAUGCUCUCGCUACUAGAUGAGCCUGCGUAAGAUUAGCUUGUUGGUGAGGUAAUGGCUCACCAAGGCUACGAUCUUUAGCUGGUCUGAGAGGACGAUCAGCCACAUUGGGACUGAGACACGGCCCAGACUCCUACGGGAGGCAGCAGUGGGGAAUAUUGGACAAUGGGCGCAAGCCUGAUCCAGCCAUACCGCGUGUGUGAAGAAGGCCUUCGGGUUGUAAAGCACUUUAAGCAGGGAGAAAAAGUUAUAAGUUAAUACCUUAUAACCGUGAUGUUACCUGCAGAAUAAGCACCGGCUAAUUCCGUGCCAGCAGCCGCGGUAAUACGGAAGGUGCAAGCGUUAAUCGGAAUUACUGGGC